GACGAACGCUGGCGGCGUGCUUAACACAUGCAAGUCGAACGUGAUUUUUGUGGAAAUUCUUUCGGGAAUGGAAAUGAAAUGAAAGUGGCGAACGGGUGAGUAACACGUGAGCAACCUACCUUACACAGGGGGAUAGCCGUUGGAAACGACGAUUAAUACCGCAUGAGACCACAGAAUCGCAUGAUAUAGGGGUCAAAGAUUUAUCGGUGUAAGAAGGGCUCGCGUCUGAUUAGCUAGUUGGAAGGGUAAAGGCCUACCAAGGCGACGAUCAGUAGCCGGUCUGAGAGGAUGAACGGCCACAUUGGAACUGAGACACGGUCCAAACUCCUACGGGAGGCAGCAGUGGGGAAUAUUGCACAAUGGGGGGAACCCUGAUGCAGCGACGCCGCGUGAGCGAAGAAGGUUUUCGAAUCGUAAAGCUCUGUCCUAGGAGAAGAUAAUGACGGUAUCAUAGGAGGAAGCCCCGGCUAAAUACGUGC
This 479-nucleotide ribosomal RNA is filed under the name uncultured bacterium. Its description in RNAcentral is "partial 16S ribosomal RNA". It matches the Rfam family "Bacterial small subunit ribosomal RNA", at positions 28 to 508 of the family's 1533-position model. The record is from RNAcentral.